AAAGAUUCUGGUUGAUCCUGCCGGACCCUACUGCUAUCGGGUGGAGACUAAGCCAUGCGAGUUGUGCGCCUCCUAGCCACGUUGGAGACGCAGCGUACGGCUCCGUAACACGUAGUUAAUCUGCCCUUGGGACGGGAAUAACCCUGGGAAACUGGGGCUAAUUCUCGAUAAGCGCAGUGGCCUGGAAUGGUACUGCACUCAAAAGGCUCUAAGAACAUGCUCUUGGAUCUGCCCAAGGAUGAGACUGCUGCCGAUCAGGUUGUUGGUGGGGUAACGGCCUACCAAGCCUAUAACCGGUACGGGCCCUGAGAGGGGGAGCCCGGAGAUGGGAACUGAGACAAGGUCCCAGGUCCUACGGGGCGCAGCAGGCGCGAAAACUCCGCAAUGCGCGAAAGCGUGACGGGGUUAACCCGAGUGCCGUCCGAUGAGGAUGGCUUUUCUUCAGUUUAAGGAUCUGGAGGAAUAAAGGGGGGGCAAGACUGGUGUCAGCCGCCGCGGUAAUACCAGCCCCCUGAGUGGUAGGGACGAUUAUUUGGCCUAAAGCGUCCGUAGCCGGCUUAGGAAGUCUUUCGUCAAAUCCGACGAUUCCAUCGUUGGACCGCGGAAGAUACUUCUAGGCUUGAGGGCGGGAGAGGUCGACGGUAGUCCCAGGGUAGGGGUGAAAUCCUAUAAUCCUGGGAGGACCACCAGUGGCGAAGGCGGUCGACUAGAACGUGCCUGACGGUGAUGGACGUAAGCUGGGGGAGCGAACCGGAUUAGACACCCGGGUAGUCCCAGCUGUAAACGAUGCGAGCUAGGUGUUGGAGCAACUACGGGUUGCCCCAGUGCCGCAGAGAAGUUGUUAAGCUCGCCGCCUGGGAAGUACGGCCGCAAGGCUGAAACUUAAAGGAAUUGGCGGGGGAGCACCACAAGGGGUGAAGCCUGCG
RNAcentral lists this ribosomal RNA (926 nucleotides) under uncultured crenarchaeote. RNAcentral describes it as "bacterial SSU rRNA". It matches the Rfam family "Archaeal small subunit ribosomal RNA", at positions 1 to 899 of the family's 1478-position model. Lineage: Archaea; Thermoproteati; Thermoproteota. The record is from RNAcentral.